UUCCCAAACUGGCAAAGGCCUUCCCAGGGGUCAGAGAAACUUCUGAUAGAAGGAAGACUAGGACCUCCCUCCCUCCUUCCGCCAAUCAUACUGCAAGUGGACAAGAGCUCAGCACAGGCCGGACAGAAGGCAAACACACCAUGAACGGCCCUCAUUGUCUGCUUAUUCCGCUCACCCCUCAUCUUUCUUCCUCUCCAGGGAGGUGCUGGGACCAGAGUGUUCAGAUGCCCCCAGGGGUCAGGAAUGGGAAAUCCUGGAGCAGGGUAGAGGGCAGAGCCACGGGGACACACUGUGCUCUUGGGAAAGGAGCGAGCCCGAUCCUGGGCACUGGAACAAGCUGUCCCAGCUCACUUGAGUGGCUCUUAACCCAGCAGGUGGCACGCCACUGCUCCGGUCACGGACACCUGCCUGGGGCCCACUGCCUCACCAGGGGCUGAGCUGACAAACAGCUUAAUAAGCUGCCCCUCACAAUGUCGCCAGGAGGCGAGGGAAGCUGCUCUGACUUCAAGGGAGGGGACAGGAAAAUUCACAUUUCGUGGAGUACUUAUCAUGUGCCUGGUGCUGAGGGGCCUCAUGGCCUUUGUAGCAUUAAAUGGGGGAUAAAUAUAGAACGAAUAAUGAAGAACUACAGACCCAUUGAUAGUAAAGUAUAUCAGGUGCGACAUUAAGUACCUUUCUGGUAAACAACCUUGUUUAAGCCUCACAAAUAUCACGUACCUUCGCUG
This is a long non-coding RNA of Suricata suricatta (meerkat), 725 nucleotides long. RefSeq lists it as uncharacterized. The transcript has 2 exons. The record is from RefSeq and is a predicted model, not a curated record. NCBI's taxonomy places the organism in Eukaryota, Metazoa, Chordata, Mammalia, Carnivora, Herpestidae.